GGAGAACAGAUAUCUCAAGGCCAGGAUGGAAGAAUCACCACUAAGCCGGGCACCAUCCCGUGGUGGAGUCAACUUUCUCAAUGUAGCCCGGACCUACAUCCCCAACACCAAGGUGGAAUGUCACUACACCCUUCCCCCAGGCACCAUGCCCAGUGCCAGUGACUGGAUUGGCAUCUUCAAGGUGGAGGCUGCCUGUGUUCGGGAUUACCACACAUUUGUGUGGUCUUCCGUGCCUGAAAGUACAGCUGAUGGUUCCCCCAUUCACACCAGUGUCCAGUUCCAAGCCAGCUACCUGCCCAAACCAGGAGCUCAGCUCUACCAGUUCCGAUAUGUGAACCGCCAAGGCCGGGUGUGUGGGCAGAGCCCCCCUUUCCAGUUCCGAGAGCCAAGGCCCAUGGAUGAACUGGUGACCCUGGAGGAGGCUGAUGGGGGCUCUGACAUCCUGCUGGUUGUCCCCAAGGCAACUGUGUUACAGUCUUGCUCUGUCACCCAGGAAGAUGUUUAUAUCUCACAACCAGCUCGAUGAGAGCCA
RNAcentral lists this small RNA (532 nucleotides) under Pongo abelii (Sumatran orangutan). Its description in RNAcentral is "processed transcript". The record is from RNAcentral. Lineage: Eukaryota; Metazoa; Chordata; Mammalia; Primates; Hominidae.